This 242-nucleotide ribosomal RNA is filed under the name uncultured Katablepharis. RNAcentral's name for it is "partial 18S ribosomal RNA". It matches the Rfam family "Eukaryotic small subunit ribosomal RNA", at positions 1614 to 1831 of the family's 1831-position model. Lineage: Eukaryota; Cryptophyceae; Kathablepharidacea; Katablepharidaceae. The record is from RNAcentral.
CUAGUAAGCGUGAGUCAUCAGCUCGCGUUGAUUACGUCCCUGCCCUUUGUACACACCGCCCGUCGCUCCUACCGAUUGAAUGAUCCGGUGAAAUCUUCGGACCGAGAUUUUGGUGAUGGUUCGCCGUUGCUGAUAACUUGGGAAGUUGAUUAAACCUUAUCAUUUAGAGGAAGGAGAAGUCGUAACAAGGUUUCCGUAGGUGAACCUGCGGAAGGAUCAUUGACACCAAAUCCAUAUCAACC